RNAcentral lists this ribosomal RNA (1522 nucleotides) under Escherichia coli. RNAcentral describes it as "bacterial SSU rRNA". The record is from RNAcentral. Lineage: Bacteria; Pseudomonadati; Pseudomonadota; Gammaproteobacteria; Enterobacterales; Enterobacteriaceae.
AGAGUUUGAUCAUGGCUCAGAUUGAACGCUGGCGGCAGGCCUAACACAUGCAAGUCGAACGGUAACAGGAAGAAGCUUGCUUCUUUGCUGACGAGUGGCGGACGGGUGAGUAAUGUCUGGGAAACUGCCUGAUGGAGGGGGAUAACUACUGGAAACGGUAGCUAAUACCGCAUAACGUCGCAAGACCAAAGAGGGGGACCUUCGGGCCUCUUGCCAUCGGAUGUGCCCAGAUGGGAUUAGCUAGUAGGUGGGGUAACGGCUCACCUAGGCGACGAUCCCUAGCUGGUCUGAGAGGAUGACCAGCCACACUGGAACUGAGACACGGUCCAGACUCCUACGGGAGGCAGCAGUGGGGAAUAUUGCACAAUGGGCGCAAGCCUGAUGCAGCCAUGCCGCGUGUAUGAAGAAGGCCUUCGGGUUGUAAAGUACUUUCAGCGGGGAGGAAGGGAGUAAAGUUAAUACCUUUACUCAUUGACGUUACCCGCAGAAGAAGCACCGGCUAACUCCGUGCCAGCAGCCGCGGUAAUACGGAGGGUGCAAGCGUUAAUCGGAAUUACUGGGCGUAAAGCGCACGCAGGCGGUUUGUUAAGUCAGAUGUGAAAUCCCCGGGCUCAACCUGGGAACUGCAUCUGAUACUGGCAAGCUUGAGUCUCGUAGAGGGGGGUAGAAUUCCAGGUGUAGCGGUGAAAUGCGUAGAGAUCUGGAGGAAUACCGGUGGCGAAGGCGGCCCCCUGGACGAAGACUGACGCUCAGGUGCGAAAGCGUGGGGAGCAAACAGGAUUAGAUACCCUGGUAGUCCACGCCGUAAACGAUGUCGACUUGGAGGUUGUGCCCUUGAGGCGUGGCUUCCGGAGCUAACGCGUUAAGUCGACCGCCUGGGGAGUACGGCCGCAAGGUUAAAACUCAAAUGAAUUGACGGGGGCCCGCACAAGCGGKGGAGCAUGUGGUUUAAUUCGAUGCAACGCGAAGAACCUUACCUGGUCUUGACAUCCACAGAACUUUCCAGAGAUGGAUUGGUGCCUUCGGGAACUGUGAGACAGGUGCUGCAUGGCUGUCGUCAGCUCGUGUUGUGAAAUGUUGGGUUAAGUCCCGCAACGAGCGCAACCCUUAUCCUUUGUUGCCAGCGGUCCGGCCGGGAACUCAAAGGAGACUGCCAGUGAUAAACUGGAGGAAGGKGGGGAUGACGUCAAGUCAUCAUGGCCCUUACGACCAGGGCUACACACGUGCUACAAUGGCGCAUACAAAGAGAAGCGACCUCGCGAGAGCAAGCGGACCUCAUAAAGUGCGUCGUAGUCCGGAUUGGAGUCUGCAACUCGACUCCAUGAAGUCGGAAUCGCUAGUAAUCGUGGAUCAGAAUGCCACGGUGAAUACGUUCCCGGGCCUUGUACACACCGCCCGUCACACCAUGGGAGUGGGUUGCAAAAGAAGUAGGUAGCUUAACCUUCGGGAGGGCGCUUACCACUUUGUGAUUCAUGACUGGGGUGAAGUCGUAACAAGGUAACCGUAGGGGAACCUGCGGUUG